GGUGGAGAGCCCAGCACAGGCCCAGUGCUAAAUAAGGCCACUCCUUGUCAUUGUGGUUAGAGAAGAUAACUCCAACACCCGAGGGGGCAGCCGGGCUUAGUGUCCUUGUCCUGAGCCUGCUGAGGUGCUGUGAUGAGGCCAAGGUCACCGUCUGGACAGCAGUGCCAUCAGGACUCCACCCAGUCCCUGGGGCGUAUCUGCAGGUUCAUUGGGCCUCAACUCCAGGGAGCAGGGGCCAGGCCGAGCUCCCCAAGGCCUUGGGUGCCCCAGCCCAGGCCAGCUGCUCUGACAGAGCCCACACUUUGUAGCCAGAGGCGAGGCAGGGGCAGUGGGGGAGACCUGCCAGACAGGUGGCAUCUCAGGCCUCCGGGUUGAGUGGGACAAAGGGAUGCGCUUGAGUUCCGCCUCCCAGAGCAGCUCCUCCCCUGGCCGGGGAACGGAGGUGGACUUCGGGGCCUGAGAAUCCUUGCCAGCGGAUGGAGGCUUUGUUUGCCUCGCUGAGUCCCCAGACCAGGGGCCGGCCGGAGAGAGGGCUCUUUCCUGAGAGGCUGGACUUUCCCACAGGAACAAAGUGGGGCUUGUUAGCCGGGCAUGAAUCUUGGCGUGAGGCGGCCCAGGCCAGGCUCGGAGCUGCCAGGCGGCGGCUCCGCGAUAUCAGGCAAAUUCCGCCUUCCCCACAGCUGGGGCUGACAGCAGGAAGCCCCAGGGAGGCUCCGGACAAAAGCAGAAAAAUGGGCCACGUUUAUUCAUUCACUGACCAGCCCGGGCCUGGCUGGCCCGGGGGCCCUGUCUCCAUGGCUACGGGCGGCCUUCAGCGCUCCUGGUUGGCUCCUCUGUGACCACAGCCCCUCCACUGCCACACACCCCAACACAUAGAGACACAGCAUCAUGAAGGCAGAGGCUGCCUCGGGACGGCUCUGCCCCAGGGAGCGUGGGGCCAUCUGAGCCAAACAGAAUAGAGGGCUUGCACACAGCCCAGGAUGUGAGUUGAGCUCUGAAUGUCAAGACCAGUCCUGGACCUAUGACCACCCAGCUGGGAGGGAGCUGACAGAUGAGGAAACUGAGGCCCAGAGUGGUGCUGGAGGUCUCUGAGCCAGGAAUUGGCCCGUCGGGACUGGAAUGCAGGGCCCUGAGCCUGACAGCACUCUUCAGGAAGGGGCUAGAGCCCCGAGGGGUGAGGAAACUGAAGCUCUGAGAGCAGUAGCUCCCCUGAGCCGUGCAGCUGGAGAGUGCUGCGCCGACAGCAGAGCUGGGGCUCUUUGCAGGUGCACAGAGGAAGGGUUUGCUUCCCUUGCCGAGUUUCCUCAUGCUCACUUCCACCCCCAGCCCUCAGUCCCAUUUUCCACUGCUUUGGUCAGGGAGUGAGUCCCCUGAUGUCAUCUGAGGAUAUGAGGCAUCGCUAAAUCUGGCCAUCCCCUGAAGCACCCAGCCUCACCGACUUCCUGAAGCGUGGAUGAACGCUGCUGCCACAAAUGUGCUGUGACAACCGCUGACAAGGAGAGUGAGUGAUGUUUGUGCCAUCCUGCUGAGCACGAGGGAGCUGCUUGGGGAAGCCAGGGGCUGGGGCAUCUCAAUAGCACUGAGGGCAGCCUCGGGGGGGCUUCACAGCCCACCCACCCCCAGAUCACUGCUGAUUCUGGGAGAUGCAUGACAGAGCUUUCUGACCUUGCACGUCCCUUUGGCUGCUAAACUGAAUGAAGCCUCCUUCUUAGACCCAACCCCCUGCUGAGUGUCUCUGUCUUCUGUUCUUUGCCAUCCCUGCCCCCAAACCUGGAACCUUCCUCUGCACCUCCACAUGCAGUGGGUGCCAAAUGUCUCCCACCUACCUGCCUGGGUCUCUGCCCCUCAGCUUCUCACAAGUGGCUGUGUUCUUCCACUCACCUGCUGGGACACACACUGGCUCACCAGCCCCCAUCCUCUCCACACCGUCUCACCUGCCUGGCUCACCUUCUUCCCCGUCACCUGCAGACAGGUCAUUUCCCAGACAUACCUGCCCUACUCCAACUAGUUGGCAUGGUGAGGCCGUCACUCCCUUCUCUCCAGGGUCCCAUGUGCUCUCCAGGCACAAAUUCACCCAGACAUUUCUUGAUCUAGCUCUGUCCCAGAAAGCGUUACCUUUGCAAUGGCAAAUACCUGUAUUAACUGCCGUGCAAAUGACACAUACUUAUCAUGUGCUUGCCUGUUCCAGGCACCGAUGGCUGUCUUUUUUAUUUUGUGUCAGGUUCCAGUGAGUGAGUCUGACUUAUGGUUGUAUAGACUUAGCUCACAUCCUCCUUCCUCCACCUUGACAAUCGCGCUAAUGACAAAGUUGUCAUUUACUGAGCACUUGCCAUGUACCAAUCACUGUGCCAGGAGAUUUACCUGCAUGGGCUCACAAAAUCUUUGCAAUAUUCGUGAAAGAGAGGCAAGUAUGUUCCUCUAUUUUGUAGAUGAGAAAACUGGCUCAGAAAAUGAAGUCAUUUUGCCCCAGGUCACCCAACCAGCGAGUGGCAGAACUAUGUUUAAAAGUCAGGAUUAUCUAUUCCAGAGACCCUGUGCUGCCCACCAUGGCACACUGCUUCUCCAGUCAAAGAAAGGUAGCUUAAAGAUAUCUGCUUUCCAAAAUGCUUGAACAUUUGUUAGAAUAUGGAAGAAGAUAAUAUAUGGUCCUGUCCUUGAAGAAUUGAUACUCUAUUUGGGGAAACAAAGCAACUCACAUUGCCAGCCAAUAUUUAUUUAAAUUUCAUCUCAGAAAAAUAGCAAAAGAGAUUUUAUUUAACCUUUCAACAGUGAUUUUCUGAUUAUGUCUGUUUGAGUAUUCUGUAGGAUAGACAGCUAAGGCAGUCAUGGACUUAGUGGGGAAAAGUUCAGCAAUCCAUUAUUAAUGUCUGUUUGGGGUGCAAGCAUGGGUAGUGGAGGUAGAUGUGCCACCAAUUUCAUUUUUUCUAUAUAGGAGAAAACAUGAGAGUUUCUAAUAAAUUCCUAACUAUAUAAAGCAGACAAGAGAGGAAAGAGAAAGAUACCUGUGUGAUUGGGAGAGGCUGCCUGAGGAAGGUAAGAUAUGACCUGUUUGGGGUCAUUGUACCCCUGGGGUGUGAGGCAUCAUCAAGGCCAGAUUGAAUUUUCUAAGGUAUGAUAAAAAGUUUGGUUCUUCCAAGUGCCUUGGUUCCUCUUCUCUAAAAUGGCUAAUUCUGUCCAAUUAAGAUCUAGAAGGCCCUUUCUGAUGCCAAUGUUUCUAAAUAAAGAUAUCUAAUAAGAGUGGAACACUUCACAGCUCUCAACCUCCUCUCAGACCCCCUAACAAGCCCAUGAUGCAGCCAUUUUAGAGAUGAAAAACUGAGGACCAGAGAGCUGACACCCAUGUUAGCAGAAGUUAGUGGAACCCAGUUCUCUUAACUCUAACCAUUCUCUAAUCCAAAAGUAUAUUUACAGAUUUUCAAAUAAUUAGGAAAUGUUAAUAAUAUUUAGAAGCUCCUCAGAUGAUUCUAGUUUUCAGCCAUGGUUGAGAAUGUUGCUAAAAAGUAAGUUUUAUGGCUGAUUUCAGAGAAGGAAACAGAGGUUCAGAGUGGUUAAGCAACUUGUCCAAAGUCACACAGUCAGAACAUAGUGGAGUGGGAACUCCACGGAGGCAGCCUGACUGCUUAACCCAUGUGUCUAUUGUGCCCCAGGCACUGUCACAUAUUAUUUCAUUUAAUUCUCUCAACAACUUUAUUUUUUUUAACUCUGAAAACUAAUCCAGAAAAGUUAAAUAACCAGCCCAAAAUUGCAGAGCUAAUAAAAGGCAGCUAACAAUGUU
Molecule: long non-coding RNA, 3775 nt
Organism: Pan troglodytes (chimpanzee)
Lineage: Eukaryota; Metazoa; Chordata; Mammalia; Primates; Hominidae
Exons: 4
Source: RefSeq, a predicted model, not a curated record